This 250-nucleotide unclassified non-coding RNA is filed under the name plant metagenome. RNAcentral describes it as "partial contains small subunit ribosomal RNA, internal transcribed spacer 1, and 5.8S ribosomal RNA". The record is from RNAcentral.
GUAGGUGAACCUGCGGAAGGAUCAUUAUUGAAUAAGCUUGGUUUCAGACUGUUGCUGGUUCUGUAGGGCAUGUGCACGUCUGUUCCAUUUUUAUUACCACCUGUGCACUUCGUGUAGAUCUGAAUUACUCUCGAGGCAAACUCGGUCUGAGACGUUACUGAGCAUUUGAAAUGAAAUGCACAGUUUUGUCUUUAGAUAUUCAGAUCUAUGUCUUACUACACUCUACGAUACAAGUAUUUGAAGUUGGACG